UGUAAUGGCAACGGUGCAGGUCGCUGA
Molecule: non-coding RNA, 27 nt
Filed under: Bombyx mori (domestic silkworm)
Lineage: Eukaryota; Metazoa; Arthropoda; Insecta; Lepidoptera; Bombycidae
Source: RNAcentral